Molecule: ribosomal RNA, 2278 nt
Filed under: marine metagenome
Description: bacterial LSU rRNA
Rfam family: Bacterial large subunit ribosomal RNA
Source: RNAcentral
AGGACCACCUCGUAAGGCUAAAUAUUCCUGAAUGACCGAUAGUGAAAUAGUACCGUGAGGGAAAGGUGAAAAGAACCCCGGGAGGGGAGUGAAAAGAACAUGAAACCAUAAACUUACAAGCAGUAGAAGGACGACUAUAUCGUCUGCCUGCGUGCCUGUUGAAGAAUGAGCCGGCGACUUAUAGUUAGUGGCAGGUUAAAGCAGUGAAUGCUGGAGCCACAGUGAAAGCGAGCCUUAAUAGGGCGUUUGUCACUAGUUAUAGACCCGAACCCGGAUGAUCUAACCAUGGCCAGGUUGAAGCUUAGGUAAUACUAAGUGGAGGACCGAACCGACUGAUGUUGAAAAAUCAGCGGAUGAGUUGUGGUUAGGGGUGAAAUGCCAAUCGAAUUCGGAGCUAGCUGGUUCUCCCCGAAAUGCGUUUUGGCGCAGCGGUAAAUGUUAUAAUCUAGGGGUAAAGCACUGUUACGUAUGCGGGCUGGUAAUUCGGUACCAAAUCGUUGCAAACUAAGAAUACUAGAUGAAUAGUUUACCAGUAAGACUGUGGGGGAUAAGCUCCAUUGUCAAGAGGGAAACAGCCCAGAGCACCAGUUAAGGCCCUUAAAUAAUUACUAAGUGGUAAAGGAGGUGGGAGUGCAUAAACAAUCAGGAGGUUUGCUUAGAAGCAGCAAUCCUUUAAAGAGUGCGUAAUAGCUCACUGAUCGAGUAAACCUGCGCCGAAAAUGUAUGGGACUAAGUAAUUUGCCGAAACUGUGCGAUAUAUAUUUAUAUAUCGGUAGGGGAGCGUUCUGUUGUAGGUCGAAGUAUUAGCGUAAGCGGAUAUGGACGAAGCAGAAGUGAGAAUGUCGGCUUGAGUAACGAAAAUAUAGGUGAGAAUCCUAUACCCCGAAAACCCAAGGUUUCCUCCGGAAGGCUCGUCCGCGGAGGGUAAGUCAGGACCUAAGGCGAGGCUGAAAAGCGUAGUCGAUGGACAACGGGUUAAUAUUCCCGUACCAUUUUUUAUUGACAACGAGGGACGGAGAAGGCUAAGCUAGCCGGAUAUUGGUUACCGGUUUAAGCGUUCGAGACGUUGAGAAGUGGCGAAAACACUUUGAGUUGAGGCGUGAGUACGAGACGCUAAGGCGUUGAAGUAGUGUAUGUCAGACUUCCAAGAAAAGCUUGCACUGUCAUAAAUAAAAAAUGCCUGUACCAUAACCGACACAGGUGGGUAGGUAGAGUAUACUAAGGGGCGCGAGAUAACUCUCUCUAAGGAACUCGGCAAAAUAACUCCGUAACUUCGGGAGAAGGAGUGCCUUAUUUAUAAGGUUGCAAUAACAAGAUCCAAGCAACUGUUUAUCAAAAACACAGGUCUCCGCUAAGUCGUAAGACGAUGUAUGGGGGCUGACGCCUGCCCAGUGCCAGAAGGUUAAAGAAGUUGGUUAGCAUUAGCGAAGCUGAUAACUGAAGCCCUGGUGAACGGCGGCCGUAACUAUAACGGUCCUAAGGUAGCGAAAUUCCUUGUCGGGUAAGUUCCGACCCGCACGAAAGGCGUAAUGAUUUGGAUACUGUCUCGGAGAGGGGCUCGGUGAAAUAGACUUGUCUGUGAAGAUGCGGACUACCUGCACCAGGACAGAAAGACCCUAUGAAGCUUUACUGUAACUUGAAAUUGAAAUUGGACUUUAUUCGCGCAGUAUAGGUGGGAGGCUUUGAAGAUAUCCUUGCGGGGAUAUUGGAGCUAUCAGUGAGAUACCACUCUUGUAAUGUUAGAUUUCUAACUUUGAACCAUUAUCUGGUCAGAGGACAGUUUCAGGCGGGCAGUUUGACUGGGGCGGUCGCCUCCUAAACGGUAACGGAGGCGUACAAAGGUUUCCUCUGAACGGGUAGAAAUCGUAUCUAGAGUGUAAAGGCAUAAGGAAGCUUGACUGUGAGACCUACAAGUCGAGCAGGGACGAAAGUCGGUCUUAGUGAUCUGACGGUACUGAGUGGAAAGGCCGUCACUCAACGGAUAAAAGUUACUCUAGGGAUAACAGGCUGAUCUCCCCCAAGAGUUCACAUCGACGGGGAGGUUUGGCACCUCGAUGUCGGCUCAUCGCAUCCUGGGGCGGUAGUACGUCCCAAGGGUUGGGCUGUUCGCCCAUGAAAGCGGUACGCGAGCUGGGUUCAGAACGUCGUGAGACAGUUCGGUCCAUAUCCGGUGUGGGCGUUAGAGUAUUGAGAGGAUCCUUCUUUAGUACGAGAGGACCGAGAAGGACAUACCUCUGGUGUACCAGUUAUCGUGCCAACGGUAAACGCUGGGUAGCUA